Molecule: ribosomal RNA, 2906 nt
Filed under: marine sediment metagenome
Description: bacterial LSU rRNA
Rfam family: Bacterial large subunit ribosomal RNA
Source: RNAcentral
AUAAGGGCGUAUGGGGAAUGCCUAGGCUCUCAGAGGCGAAGAAGGACGUGAUAAGCUGCGAAAAUCCACGGGGAUCGGCACAUACGAGUAGAUCCGUGGGUAUCCGAAUGGGGCAACCCGUCUGGCUGAAGGCCAGUCACUCCCGAGCAAUCGGGGGAGCGAACCCGGAGAACUGAAACAUCUAAGUACCCGGAGGAAGAGAAAACAAUAGUGAUUCCGCAAGUAGUGGCGAGCGAACGUGGAACAGCCCAAACCCUGUCAGUUACGGCUGAUGGGGGGUUGUAGGACUGCAUAAUCAAACUAAAACUGAACAAGAACCAUGUGGAAAAAUGGACCGCAGAGGGUGAGAGUCCCGUAUUGGCAAGGUAUUAGUGCGAGGCAGUAUCCUGAGUAGGUCGGGACCGGAGAAAUCCCGAUUGAACCCGCCGGCACCAUCCGGUAAGGCUAAAUACUCCUGAGAGACCGAUAGUGAACCAGUACCGUGAGGGAAAGGUGAAAAGUACCCUGAAUAAGGGGGUGAAAUAGAACCUGAAACCAUACGCUUACAAGCGGUCGGAGUCCCCAUUAAUGGGGAUGACGGCGUGCCUUUUGCAUAAUGAGCCUACGAGUUAUCCUCUUUGGCAAGGUUAAUCACCUAAGGUGAGCAUCCGGAGCGAAAGCGAGUCUGAACAGGGCGCGAUAGUCAGAGGGGGUAGACGCGAAACUCGGUGAUCUACCCAUGUCCAGGUUGAAGUUGCGGUAACACGCCAUGGAGGACCGAACCAGUAUACGUUGAAAAGUAUUUGGAUGAGGUGUGGGUAGGGGUGAAAGGCCAAUCAAACUGAGAAAUAGCUCGUACUCCCCGAAAUGCUUUUAGGAGCAGCGUGGGGUAAUUUCUAGUAGAGGUAGAGCUACCAAUAGGACUAGGGGGAGUCAAAUCCUACCAACUCCUGAUGAACUCCGAAUGCUACUAGAAUAAGCCCCGCAGUGAGGGCUAGGGUGCUAAGGUCCUAGUCCGAGAGGGAAAGAACCCAGACCUACAGCUAAGGUCCCAAAAUAUAUGCUAAGUUGAACUAAGGUGGUCCAGUUGCCCAGACAGCCAGGAUGUUGGCUUGGAAGCAGCCAUUCAUUUAAAGAGUGCGUAACAGCUCACUGGUCGAGCGACAGGGCGUCGAUGAUAAUCGGGCAUCAAGCAUAUUACCGAAGCUAAGGCAACGCCGUAAGGCGUUGGGUAGGGGAGCAUUCUAACCAGCGGCGAAGCCGUUCUGUAAGGGAUGGUGAAGCGGUUAGAAAAGCAAAUGUAGGCAUAAGUAACGAUAAUGAGGGUGAGAAACCCUCACACCAAAAGACUAAGGUUUCCCCGGCAAUGCUAAUCAGCCGGGGGUUAGUCGGGACCUAAGGCGAACCCGCAAGGGGUAGUCGAUGGACAAUCGGUUAAUAUUCCGAUACUACCUUACCAAGUGAAGUGGUGACGGAGGAGUGAACCCGCUGCGUACUGACGGAAUAGUACGUUGAAGGGAGUAGGUAUAUUGUUUGUAGGCAAAUCCGCAGACAAUGCCGAACCUGAUAGUACCACAAUGCUUCGGCAGCGUGGAUAAUGCGGUUAAACAGACUUCCAAGAAAACCCGCUAGCGUUAAUUGAUAAGGUACCCGUACCGUAAACCGACACAGGUAGUCGGGGAGAGAAUCCUAAGGUGCUCGAGUGAGUCGUGGCUAAGGAACUAGGCAAAAUGGCCCUGUAACUUCGGGAGAAGGGGCGCCUAGCCGGUGCUGACCUUCGGGUCAGCCCGGAAGGCCGCAGUGAAAAGAUCCAGGCGACUGUUUAGCAAAAACACAUGGCUUUGCGAAAUCGAAAGAUGAAGUAUAAGGCCUGACACCUGCCCGGUGCUGGAAGGUUAAGGGGGGAUGUUAUCAACCUUAGGGUUGAGAAGCAUUGAACUGAAGCCCCAGUAAACGGCGGCCGUAACUAUAACGGUCCUAAGGUAGCGAAAUUCCUUGUCGGGUAAGUUCCGACCUGCACGAAUGGUGCAACGAUCUGGAUACUGUCUCAGCCACGAGCUCGGUGAAAUUGUAGUAGCGGUGAAGAUGCCGCUUACCCGCAACGGGACGGAAAGACCCCAUGAACCUUUACUAUAGCUUAACAUUGACAUUGUGUACAUGAUGUGUAGGAUAGGUGGGAGACUAUGAAGCUGAGUCGCUAGAUUUGGUGGAGUCGCCCGUGAAAUACCACCCUUUAUUUAUGUGAUGCCUAAUCCCCAUCGGGGAGACAUUGUUUGGUGGGUAGUUUGACUGGGGUGGUCGCCUCCAAAAGCGUAACGGAGGCUUUCAAAGGUACCCUCAGGACGGUUGGUAAUCGUUCGCAGAGUGCAAUAGCAUAAGGGUGCUUGACUGUGAGACUAACAAGUCGAGCAGGUAGGAAACUAGGAUAUAGUGAUCCGGCGGUACCGCAUGGAAGGGCCGUCGCUCAAAGGAUAAAAGGUACUCUGGGGAUAACAGGCUGAUCUCCCCCAAGAGCUCAUAUCGACGGGGAGGUUUGGCACCUCGAUGUCGGCUCGUCACAUCCUGGGGCUGGAGAAGGUCCCAAGGGUUGGGCUGUUCGCCCAUUAAAGUGGCACGCGAGCUGGGUUCAGAACGUCGUGAGACAGUUCGGUCCCUAUCUGUUGUGGGCGCAAGAAGCUUGCGAGGGUCUGUCCUUAGUACGAGAGGACCGGGAUGGACCAACCUCUGGUGUACCGGUUGUGGUGCCAACUGCACCGCCGGGUAGCUAAGUUGGGCAGAGAUAAGCGCUGAAAGCAUCUAAGCGCGAAACUCACCUCAAGAUGAGGCUUCUUUAUAAGGGUCGUCAGAGACGAUGACGUAGAUAGGUUGCAGGUGUAAAGUCAGAGAUGGCAUAGCCGAGCAAUACUAAUUACCCGUAAGCUUUUAUU